CGGCUCGGCUCGUCGCGGGACCGGACCGGACUCGCCGGGGCUGGAGCGCCGCGUGGUGCCCGCGCCGGCGGGGCGGGGCGGGGCGGGCUGGUCCGCCCUCGCCGCUUCCCUCUUCCCUGCUGUCCUUUCUCGCGCUUCCCCCCGGGGUGCCUCGCACGCACGUGUCGGUGUCGGGGGUGUGCAGGCCUCUGCCCUGCCCUGGCCCUGCCGGCAUGCGCACCUUCCAGCGCCUCCUUACCAGGCCCAGGCCUGGCGUCGAGACCUCGCCGGUGCCCAGGGACCUCGGCGGACACUUCGCCUCGGUUCAGGGGCGCCGCUGACAGCCUGGGGCGAAGCCGCCUGACAUCGGAGCGGAUGGGUGGCCCUGUCUCCUGAGACUUCAGCUCUAGGGUUUCUUGAGAGGCCGUGUCGGUGCCCAACAGCUUGAUUUAAUGCGAGGGCAAUCCUUUCUGGGUUUUAUUUUGUUUUAUUUAUUUAUUUAAAUUGCAAAGGUAAGUCUGGCAUCUCUGCUCUCUCCUCCCCAGAAAAGAGUUGAGACUUCUGUCCACCACUGAACUAAACCAGAAGAGUGCACUUGUAACUUUGGUUACCAUUUUUAAACCUGCGAUGCUUUCUAGUUUGUAAUAUUAGGACUAAGGUGCUGUUUCGCUGGGGAAAUAUCACAUUUGUUGCUGCUUUGCUUGCCACUGCUUUACAACUGUGCACCGAGUAUACGAGGCUAACUGCUGCAGGUGUCUUUCCUGGGUCUCUUAAAGGCAACGGGACUGCUGAGUUGACUUCUGUGUGGCCAACUAGUCGCGUUGUGUUUUAUUGGAGCGUUUUGGUGGGAGCUGGACUAUCUGAACGGGCAAAACUGAUCUGUAGAAGUGCUGCUCAGAGACAGCUUCCAGCAGUUGGUGUAAGUCACUCUGUUUGUAACUCAGAACAGGUUAGGCAAGGUUAAUUAAGGCAAAGCGGGGUUUAAUUUAGCUGGGAGUCGAGCUACGGUGUCUUCUAGCAGUGUUUCUCAAACUGUCAGGCCAGCUUCCUUGGGCAAGCUUUAACAAGCCCAGGGAAAAUGGGAAAACAAUUUUUGCAUAGGAUUUGGCAAAGACAACCCCACAUUCAUUAAUGAUGAUUCCUCAUUUGCCAAGACAAAAAUUGAAAUGCUCUAGCAAGAAAAAGAUUGAGUCUGCCCUACUUUGGCAUCUGAUUCAGUGCCAUUCUACCCAGGGUCUAAUACAUGGUACUCAUUAUUGCAGUCUCUGAGCACCUCCCAAAUAUUUAAAAAGAAAUAACCAUCUCAUUCUGCACACACAAGUCUCAUUAACUUGGGUGGGUGUUGUGAAUGUUUAAGUACUGCAAGGCUGAACAGUGUGGAAAUAUACUUGCAAAAUGCAGUGCGAUCUUGAGUGGCUCAGCUGGUAUAAAUCAGUUGCCUUCUGUUAAGUUGAGUGGAGCUAUACUGAUUUGCAUCAGCUGGGGCAUGCCCCAAAGGUGGGCCUGCUCCUGCCAUCCCUCUAUAUCCAAAUUACCAGCUGACCCCAGCAGGAAUAUUGACUGGACAAAGGGGUUGGGACCUGUUUUCGUGAGAGUGCUUCCUCUUUACUCCAAUUAAACAAUAUUAAGAUUCAGGACCAUGUAAAUAGUGUUUUGUUUUGUUUUUUUACCUUCUAUGCAUGAGUGCAGAAUGCUCUGAGAGAGGUUGAAAAGAACCCGCCUGAUGGAAAAGACUGCGUUCUUGUGUAAAAGUCUUGGCGACAAUAAUGGAGCGAACUGGGUGACACAAAGCAAGAGGAAGCUGUUCUGUAUUGUAAAACUAAAGGCGGGACAAACCUCUCCUGGUGACUUCUGUGACCCCGUGUUGCACUACAACCCUUCAGGUGGAAUGAAGGAGGGCCACUGGAUUACUGGAAUGCUACUUCCCCAUGUCAUUUAUAAGGUAGAGAAACAUCUUGGGGCUAACCUUUGUUUUUCUUUUCUCAGACUGAUUGAACCCCUGAUGACAGGCUUGUCAUUUUCAUAAGCUGGCAACAAGCCACUUGGAGAAACAAACAGAAAAGCCUUAGCUAUGCCAUGAAAACUUCCUGGCAAGCAGCCCUUCCUUGUGAGAGACAGUCUGAGCAAAGUGAAAAACCCAAGGGGAAAUGAACGCUACUACUUUCUGCCAAAACAAGUCAAAUGUUGCCCCUCUGCUGUAUAGUUUUCACCAGUAAUAUCAAAUAUUUGGGAUGGAAGGGCAGAACUGAAUCAAACCAUGUAACCAAAAUCUUGGCUGUUUGUAUGACAACAUCUGAUGACCAUUUCUCUGUUAAAAUGAACAAGGGAGAUUCUUAAAGGUUAUGGAUGGGGGUACAAGCACUAACGGAUUAAGUCUUUCAGUUAUCCUGGGCUCAAACUAAAGAUGCAUUUCUGUUGAAGAACGGAACGGAAAAAACAUUCCUCGUCCUCCUCCUUUCUUUGUAUGCUGCUUCCAUGAUUGGAAUCUAACGUUUUCCAUAUACACAAUAAUGCAUUGGCCGUGGUAGCCAAGUGAUCAAGAGAUCCAGCUGGAAACUCGACAAAGCACUUAGAGCAAAUCCAAAUCCAAGUAAUGUUUGAAAAAGCAAUCUGCUCUCCCUAGCACUUUCAACUGCUGAAUGCCCCUCGGUGUUCAUGGGGUGAUCCAGGAGUUGGUGUAGUCUUGCUGUUACUUAAUAUGUCACUGAAUACAAGACAUCCUGGAAAGCAUCAUACUUAGGUUUUUGGCUAAGACAUAGUCACACCUCUUCAAAUCCAUUGAAGUAGUAGUGUGAAAGCCAUUUCGUUGUUGUUAGAGCUAAUAAAAAUCAUUUUACUUCAAAGAAUCUACAAUCACAAUUUUCAAAGGAGCCUGGGCUUGGCUUCUAAGUUCACAGCUGUAGUUCUGUUCACACAGUAAUUUGCAGCCAGCGAUAACAAGCCUUCAUCAUUUAACCACCCAUUGGUGUCAGGAAUUGGUAGGUCCAAUCCUGUUUGGCUUUCUUCAUCAAUUGCCAGGGGAGCAGGAUAUAACUUACUUCUGGAAAUCAAAUACAGGAGGUAGUACUCAUGCUCAGAUACCCACCUGGUGUAAAUUGGCAUACCACUUAGAGUUUGCUAUAGCUGAGUCGAUUGACCUCAGUUGAGGAUCUGCCCUAGCACUCUUUCUUGCUGCAAAUGAUUGUAUCUUCUUCCCUGUUGCAGCUCUGAAAUCCCUCUUGAGGGCUUCACUUGCAUCCUUAAUCCAUCACAAUGGCCAAGAAGGAAGAGGAGCAUGUAUGAGGAGGGGCUGCUAACCUUCAGUGCAAAAAGUGGGUAGUAGGGAAAAGAGAAUUUAUCGCUACUGAUGCCACUGGAAAAGGACCUGGAAAAGGCUUUGAAAACCUACUUCGUAAAGCACAAGAGACAGAAAUAAAAAAUCACCCAGUGAAUGGAAAA
Molecule: long non-coding RNA, 3417 nt
Organism: Alligator mississippiensis (American alligator)
Lineage: Eukaryota; Metazoa; Chordata; Crocodylia; Alligatoridae
Exons: 3
Source: RefSeq, a predicted model, not a curated record